This is a non-coding RNA of Ophidiomyces ophidiicola, 112 nucleotides long. The record is from the annotation of a RefSeq genome assembly. Lineage: Eukaryota; Fungi; Ascomycota; Eurotiomycetes; Onygenales; Onygenaceae.
GGCAAGAUGACCGAGUGGUUAAGGUGCCAGAUUUAAGUUUACUCCGCCUGAAAAAGGUGGGCCAGGAACUCUGGUGGGGAGACCCGCGGGAGUUCGAACCUCCCUCUUGCCA